AGGCUUUGAUCCUGGCUCAGAACGAACGCUGGCGGCAUGCCUAACACAUGCAAGUCGAACGAGACCUUCGGGCCUAGUGGCGCACGGGUGCGUAACGCGUGGGAACCUGCCCUUAGGUUCGGAAUAACUCAGAGAAAUUUGAGCUAAUACCGGAUAAUGUCUUCGGACCAAAGAUUUAUCGCCUUUGGAUGGGCCCGCGUUGGAUUAGCUAGUUGGUGGGGUAAUGGCCUACCAAGGCGACGAUCCAUAGCUGGUCUGAGAGGAUGAUCAGCCACACUGGGACUGAGACACGGCCCAGACUCCUACGGGAGGCAGCAGUGGGGAAUAUUGGACAAUGGGCGAAAGCCUGAUCCAGCAAUGCCGCGUGAGUGAUGAAGGCCUUAGGGUUGUAAAGCUCUUUUACCCGGGAUGAUAAUGACAGUACCGUGGAGAAUAAGCCCCGGCGUACAUCCG
This 453-nucleotide ribosomal RNA is filed under the name uncultured Porphyrobacter sp. Its description in RNAcentral is "bacterial SSU rRNA". It matches the Rfam family "Bacterial small subunit ribosomal RNA", at positions 8 to 506 of the family's 1533-position model. The record is from RNAcentral. Lineage: Bacteria; Pseudomonadati; Pseudomonadota; Alphaproteobacteria; Sphingomonadales; Erythrobacteraceae.